AGCGAGAGCGGCUGUUCUCAAAGUUGCCAGGCAGUGUGGAAACGCCCGCUGAGGGGCACACAGUGAGGCGGCCACUGGCUCUGUGUCCUUGGGGAAGCCCCUUCUGCGGUCCCCUCCAUUGUCUGCGUGACAAAGUGGACGCAGAACUCCCCCAUUUCCUGCCCAGGGCGGGUGAGGACCCUGCACACACACGGUGUGUUUGUGAGCUGUGCAGAGUGGGGUCUCCCUGGCAAUGGCCACAGCCUCCAGAGGCGCUGACACCUCCUGUCUAACUGAUAGACAGUUUCUGCCUCUUCUUGUUUGGGGAUUGGAGAGGGAAGUGCGUCUGGAUGACUACUAAGAUGAGGAGGCUGAGGCCUAGUGCUCCCAGGGGGCUUGGUCAAGAGCAGGAGGCGGAGGUGGUGGAAGGCUGUUUCCCUGCGUGCAGAUGAGCCUCGUCCGAUCAGUUCACAGCUUGAGAGAAAAAGACUGGUCUCCCCAGAAGGACGUCUGCAGCUCUUCCCAGCGUCCCCAGCCUGUCCACCUGCCCCAGUCAAUCAUGGCCUUGCCCUCCUCCACAGUCAGGGCAUAUAUAUGACAAGCGAUUUGGACCAACUCUUUCAUGGAUGGUCUUCAAGUACCUUCCCAGGACUCUGCCUCCCAAGUCCCUGAAGCAACUUAGCCCCAUUCACCCCACCACCAAAAAUGUGAGGAAAAAAAGAUGUGGCCAGGGGGAAUCCCAAAUUGUCAGCAACCCAUCACUCCCAGGCAAAAUCCAAACUGCUGGGCUGUCCCCUUGGACUGAUUUGUGUGCUGGCUUUUGGGGACAGCUAUCCUCUGCACAGUGGACACCAGGCUCUGUUAAGCUGACCUCUGAUGUGCCUUGAGGUUGGUUACCUUGGGCAAGCUGUGUCCCAGCCCCUCUGUUGGAAGACCUGAGCCACUGCAAACUGCUUUGGGGGCAGCUCAACCAAGGCACGUCCACAGCGCAACAUGCCCCACACAAGUCCAACAGCCCAACACUCCUUUCCAACGCAUAGGCCUGUUUUCCGCAGAAGGCACACAACUCACACAUGCUCCGUUUCCAUUUUGCAACCUCACAUCCGUAGGUUUUUCUAACAUUGUUAUGUCCAACAAAUUGCAUCUUUUGCGGCACAUGAUAAAAAGAACUAGGUUAAGCUGAAAUCGUGUAGCCACUUCCCAUGGCCUGGUGAGGAAAUCAGAGUGUGUUUUGCUUUGUAUUCUAUUCCCACCUCAAAGGCGGGAUUAAAAUAGCACUGCUUGUCACGUCUCAUUAUGGAAAUCGGUGUGGCCCUCACAGGGGCGCAGUCAGUUCGGGACUAGGAGCUGCUCUGAAGGUGUGACCUGCCUGCAGUCC
Gorilla gorilla gorilla (western lowland gorilla) is the source of this 1357-nucleotide long non-coding RNA. RefSeq lists it as uncharacterized. The transcript has 6 exons. NCBI's taxonomy places the organism in Eukaryota, Metazoa, Chordata, Mammalia, Primates, Hominidae. The record is from RefSeq and is a predicted model, not a curated record.